UACGAAGGGGGCAAGCGUUAUUCGGAAUCAUUGGGCGUAAAGCGCUCGUAGGCGGAUCGGACAGUCGGUGAAGAAAGACCCGGGCUCAACUCGGGGGAACGGCACCGAUACUAUCGAUCUUGAGGCAAUCAGAGGGUGAUGGAAUUCCCGGUGUAGCGGUGAAAUGCGUAGAUAUCAGGAGGAACACCGGUGGCGAAGGCGGGUCUCUGGGCCGAUAUUGACGCUGAGGAGCGAAAGCGUGGGGAGCGAACAGG
This 254-nucleotide ribosomal RNA is filed under the name uncultured bacterium. RNAcentral describes it as "partial 16S ribosomal RNA". It matches the Rfam family "Bacterial small subunit ribosomal RNA", at positions 524 to 776 of the family's 1533-position model. The record is from RNAcentral.